CCCUUAGAUGUUCUGGGCCGCACGCGCGCUACACUGAUGCAUUCAACAAGCCUAGCCUUGACCGAGAGGUCCGGGUAAUCUUUGAAACUGCAUCGUGAUGGGGCUAGAUUAUUGCAAUUAUUAAUCUUCAACGAGGAAUGCCUAGUAAGCGUGAUUCAUCAAAUCGCGUUGAUUACGUCCCUGCCCUUUGUACACACCGCCCGUCGCUCCUACCGAUUGAAUGUGUUGGUGGGGGGCUCGGAUUGGCAGCAGUUGGUGGUUCGCCACCGGCUAUUGCUGAGAAGUCCUCCAAACCGCCCCAUUUAGAGGAAGGAGAAGUCGUAACA
RNAcentral lists this ribosomal RNA (326 nucleotides) under uncultured eukaryote. Its description in RNAcentral is "partial 18S ribosomal RNA". It matches the Rfam family "Eukaryotic small subunit ribosomal RNA", at positions 1470 to 1796 of the family's 1831-position model. The record is from RNAcentral.